Molecule: ribosomal RNA, 493 nt
Filed under: uncultured bacterium
Lineage: Bacteria
Description: bacterial SSU rRNA
Rfam family: Bacterial small subunit ribosomal RNA
Source: RNAcentral
GAUGAACGCUGGCGAGAUGCUUUACACAUGCAAGUCAUACGAGAGUUUUUAACUCAAGUGGCGGACGGGUGAGUAACACGUAAGAAUUUACCUUUAGGAGGGGGAUAACAAGCUGGAAUCAAGUUAUGCUUGCAUGCUUGAGGAUACGGAGAAAUUGGUGUUAAUACCCCAUAUGCUUUCGAGUGAAAUGGAUUUUUCCGCCUAAAGAGAAGCUUGCGUCUGAUUAGCUUGUUGGUAAGGUAAUGGCUUACCAAGGCGACGAUCAGUAUCUGGUUUGAGAGGAUGAUCAGACACACUGGAACUGAGACACGGUCCAGACUCCUACGGGAGGCAGCAGUGGGGAAUUUUCCGCAAUGGGCGAAAGCCUGACGGAGCAAUCUCGCGUGAGGGAUGACGGCCUAUGGGUUGUAAACCUCUUUUUUCAGGGAGGAAUCAAAUGACGUGUACCUGAAGAAUAAGCAUCGGCUAACUCCGUGCCAGCAGCCGCGGUAAG